CUUAUGGUUUUGGGUAGGAGUAGAGGUGGGUUUGGAUGGGGAUGAGAUAUGGGUGGAAGAUGAUGAUGGUUUUUUAUUUAAUUAUUUUAAUUACUUCUAUAUGGAAAGAGAGAGUUACAAUCUUAAAUAAUUAAUAGGUCAAAAUCAUUUUCUUGGUCAAUUAUUGAAAAAGUAGAUGGAUUCCUAGAAUUUAUACCUUUGGAUUUGUGAAAUUUUUAAUGAUAAGUAGAGAAGGAAAUGCACGAUCAUGCAGCAGAAGAUGAAGUGGUGGACAGAUUUGAAGCAGCCAGUGAGAAAACGGGUGUGAAUGAAGAAAAGAUGAAUGAUAAAUCAAGAAAUGAUGAAAAUCCGAAAACAGAAAAAGUUCCCAGAAUUGUCAUUUAGGUAGUGAAAAAACUUCAUUUGAUUCCUCAGAACUGAUUUAACGUGGUUGUGAUUGCAAAGGAGAAUUGGGGCUUUUACAUAGAAAUUGUGCAGAGACCAGGUUUGGGUAGAGAGAUCUCAGGUACAGUUCAUGAUAUUUGACGUCUACGUUUCCCACAUGAAAAUUAUUAUUAUUAUUUUUUUUUAAAUGGGUUUUAGAUCAAUAAUAAUCUAAUGGACAAUAAGAGGAUUUUGAUUAAAAUAGAAGCCUUUUAGUUUCUGUCUGGAGUUUCUACUUUCCAGACAGCUUUCUCCUUAAAUGAGAGGUAGAAAAUGGCCCAGGCUUGGUUGGUAUGGCUUUACACGACAUGGAACUCAUUUGCACGGGGCUAUUUCGUACCUUGAUAACAAGGCUUUACAGGGUUUCAGGGCCUUUUUUUAUUUUUUAUAAUUAUAUUUUCAAGGAUAUCAAUAAAAAGAAAAAUGAAAAAAAAAGGGGGGUUUUCGACGACAGAAAAACACAGGCUAUUCUAAUAAGACAGCUUUAUAAUUGUC
RNAcentral lists this long non-coding RNA (918 nucleotides) under Olea europaea subsp. europaea. The record is from RNAcentral. Lineage: Eukaryota; Viridiplantae; Streptophyta; Magnoliopsida; Lamiales; Oleaceae.